RNAcentral lists this ribosomal RNA (460 nucleotides) under uncultured bacterium. Its description in RNAcentral is "partial 16S ribosomal RNA". It matches the Rfam family "Bacterial small subunit ribosomal RNA", at positions 338 to 795 of the family's 1533-position model. The record is from RNAcentral.
CCUACGGGAGGCAGCAGUGAGGAAUAUUGGUCAAUGGGCGCAAGCCUGAACCAGCCAAGUCGCGUGAGGGAUGACGGUCCUAUGGAUUGUAAACCUCUUUUGUCGGGGAGCAAGGCCCGCCACGUGUGGCGGGAAGGAGAGUACCCGAAGAAAAAGCAUGGGCUAACUCCGGCCCAGCAGCGGCGGUAAGACGGGGAAUGCGAGGUUUAUCCGGUUUUAUUGGGUUAAAAGGGUGCGUAGGGGGUAGGUGAAGUCAGCGGGAAAAUGUGGGGGCCAAACAUCGGCCUGCCGUUGAAACUGGCAGUCUUGAGUGAGCUAGAGGUAGGCGGAAUGCGUGGUGUAGCGGUGAAAUGCAUAGAUAUCACGCAGAACUCCGAUUGCGAAGGCAGCAUACCGGCGCGCAAUUGACGCUGAGGCACGAAAGCGUGGGGAUCGAACAGGAUUAGAUACCCGAGUAGUC